This 428-nucleotide ribosomal RNA is filed under the name uncultured bacterium. Its description in RNAcentral is "partial 16S ribosomal RNA". It matches the Rfam family "Bacterial small subunit ribosomal RNA", at positions 354 to 796 of the family's 1533-position model. The record is from RNAcentral.
GUGAGGAAUUUUCCGCAAUGGGCGAAAGCCUGACGGAGCAAUGCCGCGUGAGUGAUGAAGGCCUUCGGGUCGUAAAGCUCUGUUGCAGGGGAAUAAAAAAAUGAAGGUACCCUGUGAGGAAGGAUCGGCUAACUUCGUGCCAGCAGCCGCGGUAAGACGAGGGAUCCUAGCGUUGCUCGGAAUCAUUGGGCGUAAAGAGGGCGUAGGUGGCUUGGUAAGUCAGGUGUGAAAGCCCAGGGCUCAACCCUGGAAGUGCAUUUGAUACUGCUGAGCUUGAGUGUCGGAGAGGUUACCGGAAUACCUGGUGUAGUGGUGAAAUACGUAGAUAUCAGGUGGAACACCGGAGGCGAAGGCGGGUAACUGGACGAACACUGACACUGAGGCCCGAAAGCGUGGGGAUCAAAUAGGAUUAGAUACCCGUGUAGUCC